GAGGAUCAUUUCUGAGACAGGAAGUAAGAAAUGAAACGACAAGUCCGGAUGCAUUUUUAAAAGAGACUGUGACUUCCUGUGAUAAAGGCUGCAUGUCAGAAUGGGAAGCAGGUUAUUCUCUCAUCUGUGGUUUUUCUUGUUUGGUGUCCUGCUCUGCAGAGGCUGUGCU
Long non-coding RNA from Salarias fasciatus (jewelled blenny), 169 nucleotides. RefSeq lists it as uncharacterized. The transcript has 3 exons. NCBI's taxonomy places the organism in Eukaryota, Metazoa, Chordata, Actinopteri, Blenniiformes, Blenniidae. The record is from RefSeq and is a predicted model, not a curated record.